GCGACUGGCGAUAACGACUGGUUUCCUCGAUCGGUAAAAAACCACGUGAUAAAGAAGGAAUGAAGCAGAGAGGUCGCUGCAAAAUGGGGCAUCGCGAUCGACAGCGUUCACGCGAUAACGAAACGUCCUCCAUUAAACGACGAACAUAGCACGCGCGCGUAAUCGCAAAAUAAGUCGCCACAGAUUUUAACGACUUGGUUCGCUCUACUUUGCGUUUGUUCACGACUUUUCAUUGAUCUAACGAUUAAGUAUUCGAGAACAGGGAUUCGAGGACGUUUGAUACGAGAUAACGUUUAUCCUGAGUUGUGAGUGGCAAAGAAAAAGCUAAGAGAGGGGGCAAGCUACGUUUGAUGGCAAAGGCGUCAACUCGAAAGCACGUGAAUGGCUUCUUCGCGUGAUGCAAUAAAACCUUAUCUUUCGCACCAGGAAACGUUCGAUCGAUGGGUGCCGAUUGAACGACGAAAGAUCCAUGGAAGACUGAAGGAACAACGCAAAUUUAAUCCGCUUACUCGUGUAAGCGAUGAACGUGCUUGAUAAUUACGUUAAACGGUGGACGGAGGCGCGAAUCGUCGCGGGGAGACAUCAACGCCCGAUAAUUGUACACGCUGGCCCCGAAGAACGCCGGGUCAAGAAGAAAGCCCAUCGUAUUUUGCUGAGCGAAGUAGGUGCCAAUUGUAGCGGCUUUAAUAAACUCUGUAAGAGACAAUGACGGCUUUACGAGGUGCAAUAGGUCGAUUGUGCCUGCGAUCUAAGUGAUGAGAUCAUCGGCGAUCGCACGCUCGCCGUUAUCUCGCAAUUCCAAUUUCAUAAAUAAUCUAUUUGGUAUUUCCUUUACCUGGAAAAAAUAUUUUUCCUACUUUAUGAAGUUAAUUCAAAUGCGAUAUAUUUGUAUACUAAUCGACAAUAGAAAUAACAUUAUUUAAUUAAAUUACGUAUAAUAUAAUUUAGCAUCUACAUUUGGAAGAAAUAAUUGCUCAGUUUUUGAGAACGUGAAGUUGGUCACAAAAGUGUCCAGUCAUGUUCGAUAUGCAGUAUAUUUUGUAUAAAAUUAUAGGAUUAUUGAGAAGGCCGAUAAUGGUUUAACCUCUUAACCUACAACUACAGGCAUAGCCCGCACUACGAUGGUCGGGCCAAACAAAUUUACGGGCAUAGCCCGUAACACGUACUACACAAGUCGUGCGAAUGGCUCGAAGGCUGCGCGAGCUUGUUUACAUUUUCUCGAACGUAAAUCGUAGGUUAAGGUUAAAAAUAAAACAAUAUAUAGCGAAUAAUUAUAUCUUCAAAAUUAAAUAGCAAAUAACCAGGCAAACAUUUCUGUAACCAACUAUUAGGUUGGGUAAGGUUAGGUUAGGUUAGGUAAUAUAUAUCGUAACACAAAAGAGUUAAUCUUAUCUUCUCCUUUAUUUAUUUACGAGCAUUAUCACCUAUGGCACAAUAAAAACAAAAGGGUAACAA
Molecule: long non-coding RNA, 1455 nt
Organism: Bombus terrestris (buff-tailed bumblebee)
Lineage: Eukaryota; Metazoa; Arthropoda; Insecta; Hymenoptera; Apidae
Exons: 2
Source: RefSeq, a predicted model, not a curated record